RNAcentral lists this ribosomal RNA (342 nucleotides) under uncultured bacterium. RNAcentral's name for it is "bacterial SSU rRNA". It matches the Rfam family "Bacterial small subunit ribosomal RNA", at positions 28 to 334 of the family's 1533-position model. The record is from RNAcentral.
GAUAAACGCUGGCGGCGCACAUAAGACAUGCAAGUCGAACGGAAGUCGUUAUAAAAAGGAUUGAAGAUUUAUCUGAUUGAGAUUUUAUAACAAUGGCUUUAGUGGCGGACUGGUGAGUAACGCGUGAGUAACCUGCCUACUAGAGGGGAAUAACAGUGAGAAAUCAUUGCUAAUACCGCAUAAGCCCACGGCCCGGCAUCGGGCUGAGGGAAAAGGAUUUAUUCGCUUCAGGAUGGACUCGCGUCCAAUUAGCUAGUUGGUGAGGUAACGGCCCACCAAGGCGACGAUUGGUAGCCGGACUGAGAGGUUGAACGGCCACAUUGGGACUGAGACACGGCCCAG